RNAcentral lists this ribosomal RNA (497 nucleotides) under uncultured bacterium. Its description in RNAcentral is "partial 16S ribosomal RNA". It matches the Rfam family "Bacterial small subunit ribosomal RNA", at positions 28 to 507 of the family's 1533-position model. The record is from RNAcentral.
GAUGAACGCUGGCGGCGUGCCUAAUACAUGCAAGUCGAGCGAACGGACGAGAAGCUUGCUUUUCUGAUGUUAGCGGCGGACGGGUGAGUAACACGUGGAUAACCUACCUAUAAGACUGGGAUAACUUCGGGAAACCGGAGCUAAUACCGGAUAAUAUUUUGAACCGCAUGGUUCAAAAGUGAAAGACGGUCUUGCUGUCACUUAUAGAUGGAUCCGCGCUGCAUUAGCUAGUUGGUAAGGUAAAGGCUUACCAAGGCAACGAUGCAUAGCCGACCUGAGAGGGUGAUCGGCCACCCUGGAACUUGGACACGGUCCAGACUCCUACGGGAGGCAGCAGGAGGGAAUCUUCCGCAAUGGGCGAAAGCCUGACGGAGCAGCGCCGCGUGAGUUAUGAAGGUCUUCGGAUCGUAAAACUCUGUUAUGAGGGAAGAACAUAUGUGUAAGUAACUGUGCACAUCGUGACGGUACCUAAUCAGAAAGCCACGGCUAACUACGUG